UACGUAGGGUGCAAGCGUUGUCCGGAAUUAUUGGGCGUAAAGAGCUCGUAGGCGGUCUGUCGCGUCGGCUGUGAAAACCCGGAGCUCAACUCCGGGCCUGCAGUCGAUACGGGCAGGCUGGAGUUCGGCAGGGGAGACUGGAAUUCCUGGUGUAGCGGUGAAAUGCGCAGAUAUCAGGAGGAACACCGGUGGCGAAGGCGGGUCUCUGGGCCGAUACUGACGCUGAGGAGCGAAAGCGUGGGGAGCGAACAGG
Molecule: ribosomal RNA, 253 nt
Filed under: uncultured bacterium
Lineage: Bacteria
Description: partial 16S ribosomal RNA
Rfam family: Bacterial small subunit ribosomal RNA
Source: RNAcentral